CAAAAAUAGGAUCAUUGAGCACCCUACUGCCCACAUGAUGUUCCGUAUCCAAGACACCAAGCAGCGCUCCAAGGGCCAUGCGAUCAAUGUUUUGGCAAAGACAGCAUGGNACAUAGAGACCGCUUCGAGGUUCGUUCAACGCCGCAAGCAACGUAUAACGAAAUCAUCUUUCAUCUAGCCACACAUUGCCUUCGUUAGGUAUGCAACACAGAAACCCACCAUAUGCACAAGACAAUUAGAGCCUUGUAACACAACUGAAGAGGCAUGAACGCAUGGAAGUUGCUGCGCAAGCAGACAUCCAACCACCAUUAACAUGCCAAACACCACUCAUGCACCUUUACGGUCGACAUCCCCAAAGAACAUCCAGCAAUCAACCACCCACUUGGCACAAACACCAAGCAAG
Molecule: unclassified non-coding RNA, 403 nt
Filed under: Pyrrhopappus pauciflorus
Lineage: Eukaryota; Viridiplantae; Streptophyta; Magnoliopsida; Asterales; Asteraceae
Description: partial external transcribed spacer
Source: RNAcentral